This 445-nucleotide ribosomal RNA is filed under the name uncultured bacterium. Its description in RNAcentral is "partial 16S ribosomal RNA". It matches the Rfam family "Bacterial small subunit ribosomal RNA", at positions 330 to 792 of the family's 1533-position model. The record is from RNAcentral.
UCCAGACUCCUACGGGAGGCAGCAGUAAGGGAUAUUGGUCAAUGGGGGAAACCCUGAACCAGCAACGCCGCGUGAGGGAAGACGGUUUUCGGAUUGUAAACCUCUGUCCUCUGUGAAGAUGAUGACGGUAGCAGAGGAGGAAGCUCCGGCUAACUACGUGCCAGCAGCCGCGGUAAUACGUAGGGAGCGAGCGUUAUCCGGAUUCAUUGGGUUUAAAGGGUGCGCAGGCGGGCCUUUAAGCCGGCGGGGAAACCCGGGGGCCCCACCCCCGCCGAGCCGUCGGAACUGGGGGCCUUGAGUGCGGCGGAGGCAUGCGGAAUGCGCGGUGUAGCGGUGAAAUGCAUAGAUAUCGCGCAGAACCCCGAUUGCGAAGGCAGCGUGCCGUGCCGCCACUGACGCUGAGGCACGAAAGCGCGGGGAUCGAACAGGAUUAGAUACCCCAGUA